This 555-nucleotide ribosomal RNA is filed under the name Triticum aestivum (bread wheat). RNAcentral describes it as "partial small subunit ribosomal RNA". The record is from RNAcentral. Lineage: Eukaryota; Viridiplantae; Streptophyta; Magnoliopsida; Poales; Poaceae.
AUGUUAUUUGGUGCAAAUUGCAAGCAGGAGGAGAAUUCAAGGUUUGGAAUGAACCUAAGAAAUAAGAAUUGCUUUGGAUACAAUCAGCCCGGGCAAUGGCAGAAUUGGUAUAGCAGAAGACGUGUUGUUGGUACUGAGAAGUCUUGGCGACGAGAUGGAGAUUGGCUGUGUCCAAAUACAAGAUGUGAGAAUGUAAAUUUUGCAUUCCGAGGUGUCUGUAAUCGCUGCCAGGCAGCACGUUCUACUAAUGUUAGUGCAAAGGGGACAACUAAAAAUGGUGGAAAAUCUCAGACUCUUACUGUCCAAAUGACUACUGAUGAGUUGAAGAAGUGGCUUCGGUUCAAGGAAGGAAUCAUUGAUGAAAGGUCAACAACCAAGAUAUUUGCUACAUCUGCUAACCCCUGUGGUAAUACUUCGAAAUUUGUGAAAGGAAGUUAUUUUGAGGCUGGUACACAGUGGUUAAUAGACUCUGGUGCGUCUAAACAUAUGGCCGGUUCGUAUAAGGAUUUCUGCAGUUAUACUCCUGAUUUUACAGGGCAAAAUGUGACUUGCUGA